UACGUAGGAGGCGAGCGUUGUCCGGAUUUACUGGGCGUAAGGCGCGCGCAGGCGGCACUUCAAGUAAGGUGUGAAAUCUCCCUGCUCAACGGGGAGGGUGCACUUUAGACUGAGGAGCUAGAGGACGGUAGAGGGGGGUGGAAUUGCUGGUGUAGCGGUGAAAUGCGUAGAGAUCAGCAGGAACACCCGUGGCGAAGGCGGCCCCCUGGGCCGUACCUGACGCUGAGGCGCGAAGGCUAGGGGAGCGAACGGG
Molecule: ribosomal RNA, 253 nt
Filed under: uncultured bacterium
Lineage: Bacteria
Description: partial 16S ribosomal RNA
Rfam family: Bacterial small subunit ribosomal RNA
Source: RNAcentral